CAAUAAGUUAUUACUUCAUAAGCUUAUCUCUGGAAUAACAAUUGAGUCAACAUUUUCAAAACUGAAGUGGACCUAAUUUAAACAUACAUGAAGAAGGAGUAGGAGGCUUCUUCUUCAAGCGUGACGACAAACAAGUCACAGGGACAUCGCAGCAAUAUUCCGAGCACGAACGGCAGCCGGUCAGUCAGCCCCUUCAUCCAAAACCACAUCAGUGACUAUGAAAAAAGGAGAGCGCCGGCAUAUGAGCUGCAUUAGUGUAGCUCGACCCCCUCACAACCCCAGUGAUGCACAGCUUCAAAUGCAGGUCAAAAAAAUUCUGCAACGUGCGGCAUGAAAGACGAGGCUUCGUGGGGAAUUAGGAUGUUCAAGAUGCUGCUGCCCUGACCUUGACUAUCCUGAUCCUACGGCCAAGGGGAACGAGAGGAGACGGGAGAGGAGGAAGCGUUCGUGUGCGAUCUUCUCACAAGUGAUAAGAUACACACAAGACGCCUCUUUCAAAGACAGGGAAUAAAGCAGGAACUUUCCUUCACCUCCACUCUCAGUAAAGACGGCUGCUCCAAUGCUUUUAGAGUAGACAGCUUGACAAUAAUCCACUCCUUCCAUUCACACUGUCUUAUCCUCUUCUAUUCAAGGCCCCAUUAAAUGUGUAAAGACAGCACAGAUGUGUGCAUGCAACCGGCGUGAUAAUCGUCAGCUCCUGAACCUGACGGCUUCCUCGUCAGCGUGCGACGUGCGUCUCACAACACCUGGGAGGCAUAUUAAUACCAACUAAUGCUGGAAUGUAUGGGGGGGGAAAACUUCAUAAGUUAAACAAACCGUGGUGUUCAAACCAUCAUCAGUGUUUUCCUACGCUACUGUUACAGUACUGAUUACUCAAAUAUAGCAAAAUUGCUAAGUUGGCAACACUGAUCCAUUCUGCAACGUCUUUU
Molecule: long non-coding RNA, 929 nt
Organism: Entelurus aequoreus (snake pipefish)
Lineage: Eukaryota; Metazoa; Chordata; Actinopteri; Syngnathiformes; Syngnathidae
Exons: 5
Source: RefSeq, a predicted model, not a curated record